This is a long non-coding RNA of Sphaeramia orbicularis (orbiculate cardinalfish), 433 nucleotides long. RefSeq lists it as uncharacterized. The record is from RefSeq and is a predicted model, not a curated record. NCBI's taxonomy places the organism in Eukaryota, Metazoa, Chordata, Actinopteri, Kurtiformes, Apogonidae. The transcript has 2 exons.
GACCCACACGCACUCAACGCAGCUUUAACCUUACAAAACUAGAUGAUUGGAAGAGAUGAUCUGGAAAUCCACUUCUCAUUUCUGUCCAGGUCCAGGUCCAGGUCCAGCCUCUGUUUCCCCUUUAGUUCAGUGGAUGUGGUCUGGUCUUCAUCCUGGUAGUACUAUCUCCUGUUGUAGAGGUCCUUACGCUUUCGCAGCUCCUCCAGUACCCGAGCCCUGAAGCGGGUCCAGUCCUCAUCCUGGAACUGCUGGAGGCCCAGGGCCAGAUGGAGCUCAGCAGAGUGGCUCCGCAGGAACGGAUUGUACUCCUUCUCUUCGCCAAUAGUAGAAGGACUCUGAAAAUAAAGUGUGUGUCAAACAGCAGCCUUAGAACAAAAAACACAGACUUCCUCUGUGUGGAGGCUUGAAUUCAAUCUGAGAGGGAAUUAUGGGU